GACCUUGUGGGCGCAAUGGUAGCGGCGUCUGACUCCAGAUCAGAAGGCUGCGUGGUUCAAAUCACGUCAAGGCAGCU
This 77-nucleotide transfer RNA is filed under the name Pleuronectes platessa (European plaice). RNAcentral describes it as "tRNA-Trp". It matches the Rfam family "tRNA". From Rfam's summary of the family: Transfer RNA (tRNA) molecules are approximately 80 nucleotides in length. Their secondary structure includes four short double-helical elements and three loops (D, anti-codon, and T loops). The record is from RNAcentral. Lineage: Eukaryota; Metazoa; Chordata; Actinopteri; Pleuronectiformes; Pleuronectidae.